RNAcentral lists this ribosomal RNA (253 nucleotides) under uncultured bacterium. Its description in RNAcentral is "partial 16S ribosomal RNA". It matches the Rfam family "Bacterial small subunit ribosomal RNA", at positions 524 to 776 of the family's 1533-position model. The record is from RNAcentral.
UACGGGGGGGGCAAGCGUUGUUCGGAAUUACUGGGCGUAAAGGGCUCGUAGGCGGCCAACUAAGUCAGACGUGAAAUCCCUCGGCUUAACCGGGGAACUGCGUCUGAUACUGGAUGGCUUGAGUUUGGGAGAGGGAUGCGGAAUUCCAGGUGUAGCGGUGAAAUGCGUAGAUAUCAGGAGGAACACCGGUGGCGAAGGCGGGUCUCUGGGCCGAUACUGACGCUGAGGAGCGAAAGCUAGGGGAGCGAACAGG